AUUGAACGCUGGCGGCAGGCCUAACACAUGCAAGUCGAACGGUAACAGGAAACAGCUUGCUGUUUCGCUGACGAGUGGCGGACGGGUGAGUAAUGUCUGGGAAACUGCCUGAUGGAGGGGGAUAACUACUGGAAACGGUAGCUAAUACCGCAUAACGUCGCAAGACCAAAGAGGGGGACCUUCGGGCCUCUUGCCAUAGGAUGUGCCCAGAUGGGAUUAGCUAGUAGGUGGGGUAACGGCUCACCUAGGCGACGAUCCCUAGCUGGUCUGAGAGGAUGACCAGCCGCACUGGAACUGAGACACGGUCCAGACUCCUACGGGAGGCAGCAGUGGGGAAUAUUGCACAAUGGGCGCAAGCCUGAUGCAGCCAUGCCGCGUGUAUGAAGAAGGCCUUCGGGUUGUAAAGUACUUUCAGCGGGGAGGAAGGGAGUAAAGUCAAUACCUUUGCUCAUUGACGUUACCCGCAGAAGAAGCACCGGCUAACUCCGUGCCAGCCGCCGCGGUAA
RNAcentral lists this ribosomal RNA (506 nucleotides) under uncultured bacterium. RNAcentral describes it as "partial 16S ribosomal RNA". It matches the Rfam family "Bacterial small subunit ribosomal RNA", at positions 30 to 523 of the family's 1533-position model. The record is from RNAcentral.